UCAGGUAGAUUAAUAAUUAAUUUACAAUUAGUUUUUAUUCAAAAAUAAAUUUGAAUUAUCUGAG
This 64-nucleotide transfer RNA is filed under the name Nisia fuliginosa. RNAcentral's name for it is "tRNA-Val". Lineage: Eukaryota; Metazoa; Arthropoda; Insecta; Hemiptera; Meenoplidae. The record is from RNAcentral.